Molecule: long non-coding RNA, 293 nt
Filed under: Gallus gallus (chicken)
Lineage: Eukaryota; Metazoa; Chordata; Aves; Galliformes; Phasianidae
Source: RNAcentral
CACUGCUGUGACUAAGCAGAGACUUUCUACAGACAAAUGAGUUUUGAAGCAAGGUUUAUCACGUAGCAUUUCCAUUCUGAGAUACACGGAGCUGGAACACUGUCAUCUGUACAGAGAGCAAGGUUUGUUCUAAAUCAAAAAAAGAGGAUAAAAUGCAGAAAUGUGGUAUGACGUUGAUCUUCAACUGGAACAUCAGAAAAUGCAGUCUAUACAGUUAUGAAACCUGAGAGCAGUGACUAAGCAGUUAAUCUGAAGACUAUCCCUAGAGACGGAAUAUGAUGCUCCUAGACUCC